RNAcentral lists this transfer RNA (73 nucleotides) under Vicugna pacos (alpaca). It matches the Rfam family "tRNA". Rfam says of the family: Transfer RNA (tRNA) molecules are approximately 80 nucleotides in length. Their secondary structure includes four short double-helical elements and three loops (D, anti-codon, and T loops). The record is from Rfam by way of RNAcentral. Lineage: Eukaryota; Metazoa; Chordata; Mammalia; Artiodactyla; Camelidae. RNAcentral also lists the same sequence under 1 other name.
GAGGGUGUAGCUCAAGUGGUAGAGUGUAUGCUUAGCAUGCACAAGGUCCUGGGUUCAAUCCCCAGUACCUCCU